GAUGAAGAACGUAGCGAAAUGCGAUAAGUAAUGUGAAUUGCAGAAUUCAGUGAAUCAUCGAAUCUUUGAACGCACAUUGCGCCCGCCAGUAUUCUGGCGGGCAUGCCUGUUCGAGCGUCAUUUCAACCCUCAGGCCCCCAGUGCCUGGUGUUGGGGAUCAGCCCAGCCUUCCUGUAAGGCCGCCGGCCCCGAAAUCUAGUGGCGGUCUCGCUGUAGUCCUCCUCUGCGUAGUAGCACAACCUCGCAGUUGGAACGCGGCGGUGGCCAUGCCGUUAAACACCCCACUUCUGAAAGUUGACCUCGGAUCAGGUAGGAAUACCCGCUGAACUUAAGCAUAUCAAUAAGCGGAGGA
This 352-nucleotide unclassified non-coding RNA is filed under the name soil metagenome. RNAcentral's name for it is "partial contains 5.8S ribosomal RNA, internal transcribed spacer 2, and large subunit ribosomal RNA". The stretch from base 1 to 120 matches the Rfam family "5.8S ribosomal RNA", at positions 35 to 154 of the family's 154-position model. The record is from RNAcentral.